CUGCUGCCUCCCGUAGGAGUCUGGUCCGUGUCUCAGUACCAGUGUGGGGGACCUUCCUCUCAGAACCCCUACGCAUCGUCGGUUAGGUGGGCCGUUACCCCGCCUACUGCCUAAUGCGCCGCAUGCCCAUCCCUGUCCGGCCGAAGCCUUUCCUGCCUCCGGGAUGCCCCGGUGGCAUGUACGCGGGUUUAGCCCGCCUUUCGGCGGGUUGUCCCCCUGACAGGGGCAGGUUGCAUACGUGUUACUCACCCGUGCGCCGGUCGCCGGCGGAGAAACG
Molecule: ribosomal RNA, 277 nt
Filed under: uncultured bacterium
Lineage: Bacteria
Description: partial 16S ribosomal RNA
Source: RNAcentral